This 472-nucleotide ribosomal RNA is filed under the name uncultured bacterium. Its description in RNAcentral is "bacterial SSU rRNA". It matches the Rfam family "Bacterial small subunit ribosomal RNA", at positions 355 to 825 of the family's 1533-position model. The record is from RNAcentral.
UGGGGAAUAUUGGACAAUGGGCGAAAGCCUGAUCCAGCCAUGCCGCGUGUGUGAAGAAGGUCUUCGGAUUGUAAAGCACUUUAAGUUGGGAGGAAGGGCAGUAAGUUAAUACCUUGCUGUUUUGACGUUACCGACAGAAUAAGCACCGGCUAACUCUGUGCCAGCAGCCGCGGUAAUACAGAGGGUGCAAGCGUUAAUCGGAAUUACUGGGCGUAAAGCGCGCGUAGGUGGUUUGUUAAGUUGGAUGUGAAAGCCCCGGGCUCAACCUGGGAACUGCAUCCAAAACUGGCAAGCUAGAGUAUGGUAGAGGGUGGUGGAAUUUCCUGUGUAGCGGUGAAAUGCGUAGAUAUAGGAAGGAACACCAGUGGCGAAGGCGACCACCUGGACUGAUAUUGACACUGAGGUGCGAAAGCGUGGGGAGCAAACAGGAUUAGAUACCCAGGUAGUCCCUGAGCGGGCUGGCAAGGCGCAU